GAGCCCAUUUUUGUCAAACAUUUUAAAUAAUUUGGUCCACUAUUUUAUUUUAAUAAUUUAAUUAUUUCUGAUCUGUCUGGUUCAAACGUCAUCAAAUUAUUGUCUCUACUCUAGGAUGUUUGAGAAGACUUGGAUACUUCCCGUUUUGUCAGUUAUUAUUUUCUCAUGCUCAUUUUGAAAUCUUAUUCCGUGUCAUCUCGUCAACUUCUUUC
This 212-nucleotide long non-coding RNA is filed under the name Capsicum annuum. Its description in RNAcentral is "long non-coding RNA (CANN_LNC005878)". Lineage: Eukaryota; Viridiplantae; Streptophyta; Magnoliopsida; Solanales; Solanaceae. The record is from RNAcentral.